This 138-nucleotide small nuclear RNA is filed under the name Erinaceus europaeus (western European hedgehog). RNAcentral describes it as "U2 spliceosomal RNA". It matches the Rfam family "U2 spliceosomal RNA". From Rfam's summary of the family: U2 is a small nuclear RNA (snRNA) component of the spliceosome (involved in pre-mRNA splicing). Lineage: Eukaryota; Metazoa; Chordata; Mammalia; Eulipotyphla; Erinaceidae. The record is from Rfam by way of RNAcentral.
AUUGCUUCUCGGCCUUUUGGCUAAGAUCAAGUGUAGGAAUUAGGAGAAUAUAUGGGUUUUACCUUUCCCAAUUUUUCUGGGAAAAUUGCUUCCAAGAGUGGCUGAUUAUUUUUCAUUGACAAAAUAAAUCAAUUUGAG